GUGGUAUUCUCGAAAGCGGCCUAAGUUAAAUCAGUGGCCUAAACCUGGUUUAAACCAUGGACUAUCUUUUUUGCUAUUCUCGAAGGUGGCCUAAAGAUAAGCCAGGCUUAAAUACGUCAUAGUUCGGCCUAACUUUAGGCCGCUCAGAGGGCAGGUUUAAAUACGUCAUAGUUCGGCCUAACUUCGCGUGACGUCACGUUUUAGUUAAAUCGAGUGUCCGCGGAGAGUGAACGGUUCUUUUCAAUUGAUGCAUGGGGAUGAAAAAAGAAGGCCUCUCCCAAGCUACUGUGACCCGCCUUGUGAAGUCCAUCUCAAUAGCCAUUGCCAGGAGAUCGGAGCAAUACAUCUCAAUUCUUGAACAAGAGAGGCAGUCCUGCAGAGUGAAGACCCAACAUGAAUUUUAUAAUUACUGCCAUUUCCCUGGCGUAAAUAUGGUUGGUGCUAUUGAUUGCACCCACAUAGGCGUCUCCACGCCAGUUGGCCCAACACCAGUUAUUUCCUGAACAGGAAAAAUAGAUACUCCAUUUUUCUUGGAAAGUCUGCUGGAUGAUGUUCUUCUUCAGUAAAAUAAAUGAAGGCAAAUAACCUGAUGAUUAAGACAAAUUCAGAGAGAGGAAGGAGAACUACUUAGCUGCUGAAUUUC
Strongylocentrotus purpuratus (purple sea urchin) is the source of this 643-nucleotide long non-coding RNA. RefSeq lists it as uncharacterized. NCBI's taxonomy places the organism in Eukaryota, Metazoa, Echinodermata, Echinoidea, Camarodonta, Strongylocentrotidae. The record is from RefSeq and is a predicted model, not a curated record. The transcript is spliced from 3 exons.